ACUACGGGUGGCAGCAGUGGGGAAUAUUGCACAAUGGGGGAAACCCUGAUGCAGCGACGCCGCGUGAGUGAAGAAGUAAUUCGUUAUGUAAAGCUCUAUCAGCAGGGAAGAAAAUGACGGUACCUGAGUAAGAAGCCCCGGCUAACUACGUGCCAGCAGCCGCGGUACUACGUAGGGGGCAAGCGUUAUCCGGAUUUACUGGUUGUAAAGGGAGCGUAGACGGCAGUGCAAGUCUGUGUGUAAAGGCGGGGGCUCAACCCCCGGCCUGUUCUGGAAACUGUAAGGUUGGAGUGCAGGAGAGGUAAGUGGAAUUCCUAGUGUAGCGGUGAAAUGCGUAGAUAUUAGGAGGAACACCAGUGGCGAAGGCGGCUUACUGGACUGUAACUGACGUUGAGGCUCGAAAGCGUGGGGAGCAAACAGGAUUAGAUACCCUAGUAGUC
Molecule: ribosomal RNA, 440 nt
Filed under: uncultured bacterium
Lineage: Bacteria
Description: partial 16S ribosomal RNA
Rfam family: Bacterial small subunit ribosomal RNA
Source: RNAcentral